AUUGAACGCUGGCGGCAGGCCUAACACAUGCAAGUCGAGCGGAGCGGCGGACGGGUAAGUAAUGCCUAGGAAUCUGCCUGGUGGUGAGGGACCAAGUCGGGAGGCGGGAGAUAUUACCGCAUACUAUAAGAUGGGUCUAGGGCGGAUUAGCUAGUUGGAGGGGUAAAGGCUUACCAAGGCGACGAUCCGUAACCGGUCUGAGAGGAUGAUCAGUCACACUGGAACUGAGACACGGUCCAGACUCCUACGGGAGGCAGCAGUGGGGAAUAUUGGGCAAUGGGCGAAAGCCUGAUCCAGCCAUGCCGCGUGUGUGAAGAAGGUCUUCGGAUUGUAAAGCACUUUAAUUUGGGAGGCGUUACCAACAGAAUAAGCACCGGCUAACUUCGUGCCAGCAGCCGCGGUAAUUC
RNAcentral lists this ribosomal RNA (407 nucleotides) under uncultured bacterium. Its description in RNAcentral is "partial 16S ribosomal RNA". It matches the Rfam family "Bacterial small subunit ribosomal RNA", at positions 30 to 526 of the family's 1533-position model. The record is from RNAcentral.